This 380-nucleotide ribosomal RNA is filed under the name uncultured Nitrososphaerota archaeon. Its description in RNAcentral is "bacterial SSU rRNA". It matches the Rfam family "Archaeal small subunit ribosomal RNA", at positions 471 to 851 of the family's 1478-position model. The record is from RNAcentral. Lineage: Archaea; Thermoproteati; Nitrososphaerota.
UAAAACCAGCACCUCAAGUGGUCAGGAGGAUUAUUGGGCCUAAAGCAUCCGUAGCCGGCUCUGUAAGUUUUCGGUUAAAUCCAUGUGCUCAACGCAUGGGCUGCCGAGAAUACUACACAGCUAGGGAGUGGGAGAGGUAGACGGUACUCAGCAGGAAGGGGUAAAAUCCUUUGAUCUAUUGAUGACCACCUGUGGCGAAGGCGGUCUACCAGAACACGUUCGACGGUGAGGGAUGAAAGCUGGGGGAGCAAACCGGAUUAGAUACCCGGGUAGUCCCAGCUGUAAACGAUGCAGACUCGAUGAUGCAUUGGCAUAUAGCCAGUGCAGUGUCGCAGGGAAGCCGUUAAGUCUGCCGCCUGGGAAGUACGUACGCAAGUAUG